Molecule: long non-coding RNA, 269 nt
Filed under: Fukomys damarensis (Damara mole-rat)
Lineage: Eukaryota; Metazoa; Chordata; Mammalia; Rodentia; Bathyergidae
Description: lncRNA (ENSFDAG00000028409.1)
Source: RNAcentral
UGAAUUUCCUCCUAUUUGUGGCAUCUAAAUAAUCUGUGUUCAUCUCUCCUCAGAACCUUGACAUUCUUCUCAUCAGCAUUAUCCACAGCCAGGAGAAGAAAAGAUGAGGAUUGUUUUCAAAGGCUCUGGGCAGCAUCUGGAACAGAGUAUCCUGAAGAACCUCCAAACAGAAGGAGAUUUUGCAAUUAGGAGUACAAGAAAUUCAUCUGAGGCAUGCACUCAAUGUGUCGAAGACCCACGGAUUCCCAGCAUUAUGAGGAUAACCCCCG